This 392-nucleotide long non-coding RNA is filed under the name Mytilus galloprovincialis (Mediterranean mussel). Lineage: Eukaryota; Metazoa; Mollusca; Bivalvia; Mytilida; Mytilidae. The record is from RNAcentral.
GCAGCAAAUAUUGACAAUAUGGUCAUAAUUAACCAAUAUCAUCAGAAUAUAAAAUUUCAAGGGAAAUAACUGUGACUCCCAAGGGAGGUAAUAUACAUUUGAUAUGAGGAAUUUUGAGACAAUUUUCAAAUUUAUAAUCCAUUGUGCCUGAGUGAUUUGAUCAUUGUUGUACAGUUUCUAUUGCACCUUUCUUAAGCUUGAAUGAUUAGCAAUGUACUUUCAAAUUUCCCAAAAUAAAUGCAAUGUUUUAUAGCAGUACAAUAUGAACUACAUGAACAUUUGGUGUUGAUGUGAGGUAACAAUAUGCAGUGACAAUUUUAAAAUUAAACCUUUUGAAUUCAUCAAACAUCUAACUACCUAGUUAAGGUUGAACCUAUGUCCAAAUAAAAAAA